UACGUAGGUGGCAAGCGUUAUCCGGAAUUAUUGGGCGUAAAGAGUGAGCAGGCGGUCUGUUAAGUCUGAAGUUAAAUGCAGUUGCUCAACAACUGUUCGCUUUGGAUACUGGCAGGCUAGAGUGUAGGAGAGGCAAGUGGAAUUCCAUGUGUAGCGGUGAAAUGCGUAGAUAUAUGGAGGAACACCAGUGGCGAAGGCGACUUGCUGGCCUAUUACUGACGCUCAGUCACGAAAGCGUAGGGAGCAAAUA
This 250-nucleotide ribosomal RNA is filed under the name uncultured prokaryote. RNAcentral describes it as "partial 16S ribosomal RNA". It matches the Rfam family "Bacterial small subunit ribosomal RNA", at positions 524 to 774 of the family's 1533-position model. The record is from RNAcentral.